GAGAUAGAAAGUUACUUCGGUACAUCGGUGACAGGUGGUGCAUGGUUGUCGUCAGCUCGUGUCGUGAGAUGUUGGGUUAAGUCCCGCAACGAGCGCAACCCCUAUUGUUAGUUGCCAUCAUUCAGUUGGGCACUCUAGCGAGACUGCCGGUAAUAAACCGGAGGAAGGUGGGAUGACGUCAAAUCAUCAUGCCCCUUAUGACCUGGGCUACACACGUGCUACAAUGGUUGGUACAACGAGUUGCGAGUCGGUGACGGCGAGCUAAUCUCUUAAAGCCAAUCUCAGUUCGGAUUGUAGGCUGCAACUCGCCUACAUGAAGUCGGAAUCGCUAGUAAUCGCGGAUCAGCACGCCGCGGUGAAUACGUUCCCGGGCCUU
RNAcentral lists this ribosomal RNA (376 nucleotides) under uncultured Streptococcus sp. Its description in RNAcentral is "bacterial SSU rRNA". It matches the Rfam family "Bacterial small subunit ribosomal RNA", at positions 1003 to 1382 of the family's 1533-position model. Lineage: Bacteria; Bacillati; Bacillota; Bacilli; Lactobacillales; Streptococcaceae. The record is from RNAcentral.